GUGCUUGCUUUGGCAGCACAUAUACUAAAAUUGGAACAAUACAGAAAAGAUUAGCAUGGUCCCUGCUCAAGGAUAACAUACAAAUUUGUGAAACACUUCAUGUUUUU
This 107-nucleotide small nuclear RNA is filed under the name Procavia capensis (Cape rock hyrax). The record is from RNAcentral. Lineage: Eukaryota; Metazoa; Chordata; Mammalia; Hyracoidea; Procaviidae.